RNAcentral lists this ribosomal RNA (369 nucleotides) under uncultured bacterium. RNAcentral's name for it is "bacterial SSU rRNA". It matches the Rfam family "Bacterial small subunit ribosomal RNA", at positions 527 to 896 of the family's 1533-position model. The record is from RNAcentral.
GAAGGGGGCUAGCGUUGCUCGGAAUCACUGGGCGUAAAGGGCGCGUAGGCGGCGUUUUAAGUCGGGGGUGAAAGCCUGUGGCUCAACCACAGAAUGGCCUUCGAUACUGGGACGCUUGAGUCUGGUAGAGGUUGGUGGAACUGCGAGUGUAGAGGUGAAAUUCGUAGAUAUUCGCAAGAACACCGGUGGCGAAGGCGGCCAACUGGACCGGCACUGACGCUGAGGCGCGAAAGCGUGGGGAGCAAACAGGAUUAGAUACCCUGGUAGUCCACGCUGUAAACGAUGAAUGCUAGCUGUUGGGAUGCAUGCAUCUCAGUAGCGCAGCUAACGCAUUAAGCAUCCCGCCUGGGGAGUACGGUCGCAAGAUUA